AGCAGUAGCCGCGGUAAUACAGAGGGUGCGAGCGUUAAUCGGAUUUACUGGGCGUAAAGCGUGCGUAGGCGGCUUUUUAAGUCGGAUGUGAAAUCCCUGAGCUUAACUUAGGAAUUGCAUUCGAUACUGGGAAGCUAGAGUAUGGGAGAGGAUGGUAGAAUUCCAGGUGUAGCGGUGAAAUGCGUAGAGAUCUGGAGGAAUACCGAUUGCGAAGGCAGCCAUCUGGCCUAAUACUGACGCUGAGGUACGAAAGCAUGGGGAGCAAACAGGAUUAGAUACCCCUGUAGUCCCUGUCUCUUAUAC
Molecule: ribosomal RNA, 303 nt
Filed under: uncultured bacterium
Lineage: Bacteria
Description: partial 16S ribosomal RNA
Rfam family: Bacterial small subunit ribosomal RNA
Source: RNAcentral